Cynoglossus semilaevis (tongue sole) is the source of this 1508-nucleotide long non-coding RNA. RefSeq lists it as uncharacterized. Lineage: Eukaryota; Metazoa; Chordata; Actinopteri; Pleuronectiformes; Cynoglossidae. The transcript has 3 exons. The record is from RefSeq and is a predicted model, not a curated record.
AUGACUGUAUUGAUGUGUUAAGACGUGCAGAUGAAAUUAAUUCUUUUCUUGUUUUUUUUUUCCCUUUUACAUUGUUAAUUAAUAGAAAACGAUAGCAAUUCAUGCUCUAAAAUAUGUCAUUUUAUAUAUAUAUUUGUUUUAUUCCUGAUAGACAGCACCACAGAUAUUCGUGAUAGACUGUAUUUUAUUUAUUUUAUGUCACGCGUUCAAGACCACAGGCAAGUAAUAAUAACCUAGUUACCACGAAGCCUAACGUACUGACGUCUUUAUUUUUGUCCCCAUGUUCCAUUCAAAUUAGCUCUGAUUGAGUGUUUAGUCACCUCUGAAUUAUAUGGUAUAUACACACACAGAAAGAGAGAGAGAGAGAAUCCUCCAAAUCCCUUGUUAAAGGUUCUACUCUAGAUCGACCACGGCUGAGGUCGCCACGUCCGACUCACUAACUGACUCAAUCAGAGCUGCAGCCUGUGGUCAAUUCAUCGAUCGGUAAAUUAUAGUUUUAUUAGCCAAGGCAAACACUCAGUGGCUCCAGCUUUUUAAAAGCAGAGAUUCGAUGCCUUUCUCCUCCUGUAUUUCACGUUUGACCAAAACCAUUAAGACAGGAUAGGAGGUUUUUUUUAUGUACUUAAACGACCUCAGGUCUUAUUAUCACUGCAACAGUUGUAGUAACCCCUCGCAGACACUUGGACAACCUUAGCCCUGCCUGGUGUUUUCUGCUUAGUCAUAAAGGUGUAACAUGCAAGAAAAACACUUUAAUUCUUCCUAAAGAAACAUUUCAAUCCUCCCUUUCCUAUAAAAGGUGCAAAAGGCCAAAAGUCAGAGAAAAGAUUUUAGACAACAGCAAACAGCAGCUGUUAAAACCCUCUGCUGCCUCCAUCAUUCACUUUAAAGGUGUUACCGGAUUUUUUUCGUGUUUAAAAACAAACCGACCACAAAAGGCAGCAGGAGACAGUAUCCAGUAUCACUGGAGCUAAAAUCACCGAUCUGUAGUUUGGUGUAGGGUUUAUAAUAGGAGGAGAAAUAUGUAAUGUUUUUUUUAUUUUAAAAGCAGUUUAGGCUCAGUGUAUUCAUUAUUUUUUUGGGGGUAUUUUUUUGGGUGUGCUCUCAGACAAUGGUGUGUUUCCGUGUCUAGAGAGAUGGGUGUGAGAACGGAACCGGAAUAACUUCAACUCCUGUGAACUGUUGUAAGACAGAGGGACGAAGCGUGAAUAAUUCACCUGAGCGUGAUCGUGUCUGACUGCAGAGCGCCGUUUCAUUCACAAUUCAUUUGAAGAGGCUCAGACAUUAGGAAGGGAGAGUCGACGCGCACACGCACCUACACACACACACGCUGAAAACGGCAGUCUGUACACACCCAAUUCUAAUCAGGCAUGAGCACAUCGUCAGCAUCAGGACCUCUUCACGGAUGAUGAAGUUACAGCUCAGUGAGUAUCUCUCUCUCUCUCACACACACACACACACAUACACACAUAGACAGAAGUGACAUGCCAUUGUUUUCCCCCCUUACCUCU